UACGAAGGGGGCUAGCGUUGCUCGGAAUCACUGGGCGUAAAGCGCACGUAGGCGGCUUUUUAAGUCAGAGGUGAAAUCCUGGAGCUCAACUCCAGAACGGCCUUUGAUACUGGAGAGCUUGAGUCCGGGAGAGGUGAGUGGAACUGCGAGUGUAGAGGUGAAAUUCGUAGAUAUUCGCAAGAACACCAGUGGCGAAGGCGGCUCACUGGCCCGGUACUGACGCUGAGGUGCGAAAGCGGUGGGGAGCAAACAGG
RNAcentral lists this ribosomal RNA (254 nucleotides) under uncultured bacterium. RNAcentral's name for it is "partial 16S ribosomal RNA". It matches the Rfam family "Bacterial small subunit ribosomal RNA", at positions 524 to 776 of the family's 1533-position model. The record is from RNAcentral.